UCUACAAGCUGGCCAUUUAUUGACAAAAAACUUUUAUAUUGUAAAUAUUUAUCUUUUUUAUUUCUUUCCUUGUUUACAAGAAAAUAGAUGACUCGAGUGUUACAAACAAUAGUUUUUAAGGAAUAAUGAGAAAUAAGUUAAUUUUUAUAGGAUAAAAAACUUAAUCAACAUGAUAACAUUAGUCCUACCAGACACUAACUUAGUUUUAUAGAUGAUCCUGGAGCAAAGGCUGUAAUUUAACCUGAACCCAAAUUGGUCUCUUUUUUAAAUAUUGUCUUGAACCAAUAAGUUAAGAGGACUAACUUUUCUGGACGACAUUGCCAUCGACAUCACUGCAGAUGAGAGAGAAAGAGAGACCAGAGUUGUGUACCCUGGAGGCAAUUACCAUACUGCUGUGAUAAUGUUCCUUGGUCUAACCAUAACUUAAGUGAGAGCUGAAGCCUACCAGUAAAAUGGGGGUGUUGUAAUUAAUAUCCUCCGACACUGGAGGAUACAGGGGAGAGGUGUCAGUGGAAGAGGAGAUGGAGGAUGGGGCCAGUUUAAGACUAAGAUUGAAGAAAACUAACUUAUGGCCUGAUGACAGGGUGGAUGGCGAUGGAGGCAUGGAGGUUAGGGGAGAGAAGGCUGAAGAAGUGAAGACAAAUCAGUUUAGAUUCAUUAUAAUAAUUAGUUUAAUAUUUAUUUUGAAUACCAGUAUACUUUUAUUUACAUUUUUUUCUCAUUUAGAUUAUUUAAUUAAGAAAAUUUUAUUAUUUUUAUAAAGAUGUUUUCUUAAAUUUUUAAUAUUUGUUUGUACUUCUGCCUGGUAAAAAACAAAACUGUUUAUUAUGCUGGUUAAAAUGAUUACUUCCACUAAUGGACCUUGUCUUGGGUGAAAAGAGAUAUCUUGAUAUUUAACUAGCAGGGUGCCUGUUCUAUCUAUGGGCGGGGAUCGUAUAAGUCAGUUGAAACCUUCUUAUAUUUCGAUAUUUGGUAAAUUAAUCAUU
This is a long non-coding RNA of Macrosteles quadrilineatus (aster leafhopper), 986 nucleotides long. RefSeq lists it as uncharacterized. The record is from RefSeq and is a predicted model, not a curated record. NCBI's taxonomy places the organism in Eukaryota, Metazoa, Arthropoda, Insecta, Hemiptera, Cicadellidae. The transcript has 4 exons.